GGAGAGAGGCGGGCGUGGAGAAGGGAAAAAAGGGCGUAGUAAGUCAUACGGAGAGGCUCGUACGUCAUACUUCAUCCGGGCCAACGGAGCAACACAUGGAAAGGGCUCUCCCCGCACGUAUACGAAGAACGCAUUCACUCGGGCUGCCUCUUUAGGUCGCGACGCUCGAUAGUGGAAUCCUUACAACGGACGCACACGAAGAUCGGAGCUGAUCUUCGUCGAUACGGGAGUAGAGCGCUGUGUUACCGGCAACCCUCGUAAAAGGCCAUAGCGGCAAGCGUGGAGGUUCACAAGAAGGAGGGAUAAACGAGUCGAGCCACGAUUUCGUUGUCGUAAACGUCAAAGUUACGGUUACAGCGUUGUUCCUAGCUGCUUUAUAUUGAACGGGGUUGCUCCCCGAGGUACGUAACACCUACUCGCAGACGUCGUAUUGUAGAAAGUAGCGCUACUACUCCUUUCCAACUCCGGGAGCGACGCAACGCGGGCACCACGUGGCUUUUACGCGGGAAUCCAGUGAAGGAAUUCAAGAUAACGUUCCUUUAAGCGCGUCGGAAAUAGAGGAUGUAAAUUUCAGAAACGGAAGCUACAGAGCUAUCAUUAAUAAUCUGCACCGUAAAAGAGGCUCUCUCUCAAUGGGCUUGAAUGAAGAGAUGCCUAAAUAGCACCCCAGCCUCUC
This is a long non-coding RNA of Formica exsecta, 676 nucleotides long. RefSeq lists it as uncharacterized. Lineage: Eukaryota; Metazoa; Arthropoda; Insecta; Hymenoptera; Formicidae. The record is from RefSeq and is a predicted model, not a curated record. The transcript is spliced from 4 exons.